Non-coding RNA from Arachis ipaensis, 1492 nucleotides. Lineage: Eukaryota; Viridiplantae; Streptophyta; Magnoliopsida; Fabales; Fabaceae. The record is from RefSeq and is a predicted model, not a curated record.
ACUGAAGAGACAACGGUUGGGACCACGACUAGAGGAGCUCAGACAUCACAGGAGUUCCCACGUGAUAGGGUUCCUCGGAUAUCAUCCUCAACUAAUAGAGCUCCGGCAACCCGUAUGAAAGAACCAUUUCGUGCACCGUGCAUCGAUCAUAGGAAUGCACAGUCGAGUACUGCUGAUGACCCUCAAACUCCAACAGACAACAUAGAGACUCGGCAUCGCGCGGAAGUGGCUGAUCAUGAAUUAGAAGACGAGGAUUACGAUCCAGAGGCGGAUGAGAAGUUCCGUCGUUUGAUGACCACAUCGACGACUUGUUUGCUGCCCAAGAAGUCGAAGGUCAGCAUAACAACAAGAAAACCAAAGAUACAGAUUUCUGGGAAGUUACUGUUAUCGAGGACGGUGUGAGAAAAGUUUGUAAGCUGAGCGUGAAGGAGGCUAUAGCCCUCCCUUCCAAUACGAAGAUAGUACUCCCGUUUAACAGUGAGCUGCAACCGAUUGGUCAAGCAGCAGGAUUACUGAGUGGUUUCAUAGGGAGUUUGGGUGUGGAUUAUUCCCAGUUCCCCAUACACUUAGAAAGUUGGAAGCUGGUGAGCAAAGUAAAGAGGGAUCAUGCGUACGACAUGCUUAAGCGGGUCUUUUACUAUGAGGACGAUGCCGGGGGAAAAAUAAAGCGUGAUAUUUUGAAGAGGAUAGGAAAGAACUGAAAGGAUUCAAGGCACCACUUGUUUCAUAGGUGUUACAAACAAAUAAGGACUUAUGAGGAAAAUCUUCAGCAUCACCCGAAAGGAAUAGACAAAAAUGAUUGGAAAAAGUUUGUUGACUAUCGCCUGAAUGAAGAAACACAGAAAAAGUGUAAACAGAACACUUUAAAUCGGAGCAAGCAACUUUACACACAUACUGGGGGCUCCAAAACCUUGGCAAGAAAAAAAGACGAAGUGGAGAGAGAGCAAGGAAGGCCCGUUGGUAGAGGAGAGUUGUUUAUCAUGACUCAUAAGAAAAAAGAUAGCUCGUAUAUCCACCCCGAUGCGCGUGUUGUUAGUGAAGCAAUUGUGAAUGUUGAGAGGCAGGAUGGAUCCUCUAAACACCUUUCACAGAAUGACUCGCUAGCACAAGUUCUCGGAAAGGAGCACCCAGGACGAGUUCGUGCCCUAGGUGCUGGACCAUGUCCCACCCAAGUCUUUGGUAACGCUGCUGGACAACCGUCGGAUUCUGUAGAGUCCAAUGCAGAGGAUAAGAGGAUGAUUGCAGAAUUGACGGCUAAGCUAGAAGAAGAGCGGGCGAAGAGACAGUCAAUACAUAAGGUCUUGGGAUAUGUAGUCCAACAGUUAUGAGGCAAUUUGCCGGUUGAGAUUGCUGAAGAGCUGGCUUUUGUGGGCGGUACACUGGACUCGUCAUGCGCAGGGCCAUCUUCAUCUGGAAAUCACGACCCACAACAAAAAUUUUGAAUUUCAAUUAAUGGUCUUGGAUACCUUUUACAUUUAAGUUGGUUUAGUAU